AGAGUUUGAUCAUGGCUCAGGAUGAACGCUAGCGGGAGGCUUAACACAUGCAAGUCGAGGGGUAAGGAGGUAGCAAUACUUCCCAAGACCGGCGCACGGGUGAGUAACGCGUAUGCAACCUGCCUGUUACAGGGGGAUAGCCCGGAGAAAUCCGGAUUAAUACCCCAUAGACCUAUCGAGUCGCAUGGCUUGAUAGGUAAAGUUGAGGCGGUAACAGAUGGGCAUGCGUGACAUUAGCUGGUUGGCGGGGUAACGGCCCACCAAGGCAACGAUGUCUAGGGGUUCUGAGAGGAAGAUCCCCCACACUGGUACUGAGACACGGACCAGACUCCUACGGGAGGCAGCAGUGAGGAAUAUUGGUCAAUGGGCGAGAGCCUGAACCAGCCAUCCCGCGUGCAGGAAGAAGGCCCUAUGGGUUGUAAACUGCUUUUGCGCAUGAAGAAUGGUACCCUCGUGAGGGUAUUUGACGGUAAUGCGUGAAUAAGCACCGGCUAACUCCGUGCCAGCAGCCGCGGUAAUACGGAGGGUGCAAGCGUUAUCCGGAUUUAUUGGGUUUAAAGGGUGCGUAGGCGGUAGUUUAAGUCAGUGGUGAAAUCCUGCAGCUCAACUGUAGAUGUGCCAUUGAAACUGAAUUACUUGAGUUAUCUUGAGGUAGGCGGAAUGUGUAGUGUAGCGGUGAAAUGCUUAGAUAUUACACAGAACACCCAUUGCGAAGGCAGCUUACUAAGGAUAUACUGACGCUCAGGCACGAAAGCGUGGGGAUCGAACAGGAUUAGAUACCCUGGUAGUCCACGCCGUAAACGAUGAUAACUCGCUGUUGGCGAUACACAGUCAGCGGCUUAGCGAAAGCGUUAAGUUAUCCACCUGGGGAGUACGCUCGCAAGAGUGAAACUCAAAGGAAUUGACGG
RNAcentral lists this ribosomal RNA (908 nucleotides) under uncultured bacterium. RNAcentral's name for it is "bacterial SSU rRNA". It matches the Rfam family "Bacterial small subunit ribosomal RNA", at positions 8 to 916 of the family's 1533-position model. The record is from RNAcentral.